Haemorhous mexicanus (house finch) is the source of this 708-nucleotide long non-coding RNA. RefSeq lists it as uncharacterized. NCBI's taxonomy places the organism in Eukaryota, Metazoa, Chordata, Aves, Passeriformes, Fringillidae. The transcript has 2 exons. The record is from RefSeq and is a predicted model, not a curated record.
GGCCAGAGGGGCAAGGGCUGGCAGCAGUGCAGGGGACCUGGUCCUGGAUUCACAGGGUCAAUCUCAGGUUCGUCAGCCCAUGAGAUGCCUCCUCCAGAGCAGGACGGGCAGCACCGACCCCCACCAGUCUCACAGCUGCCACCUCCACCCAGCACAUGGAGAAGCACGGCAGGGAGACGCCAGAGCUUCAUCUGCACCCUGGCACGGCUGUUUGUGAGGCUGGGUAAGGACUAAAGUGGGUGUCAGCCCCAAGGAGCAAAGGGAGGAAAGCGGUCGGCAAAUCCUGUCUGCUCCUCAGGAGAAGCUGCUGGAAGCUCGGCCACACCUUAGUGCUGAAGUUGCCACGGCCGGCGGUGCAGCAGCUGCCGCGUGUGAGCUGCUGCUCAUGUGACAGGAGGCUCUGAGCAUCAAAAGCACCUAAUUAGGAACCUCGCCGACUCCCUCCCGGAUCUGCGCCUCUGUGUGCAGCGAGCGCAGCCCAGGGGUGAGUUUGGCAUCCCUGAAAGCAUCAUUAACACUUCGCUCCUCACAUUCCUGACUAGAGGAGGAGAGAGUGACAGCCCUGAAAGUGAUGAUAAUGAAUCCCCAGGCAGUGCACAGGGCCCAUCAGCGCUGGAUUUGUCAGUAAUUUAUGAAGGGAGCAGGAAAAAAAAAAGUAUUUCUGAUUUUUCAAGUUGAGCUUCCUAAAUAAAACACAAGUCCAAGAUA